AUGGUCGAGUGUCGCAGCUUCAUCAAGUUCUUGCACGCAUUCGAGCACCACCGCAGGGCAGCGGACUCGUCGUGAGCCACCCGAUCCAAGCGCAUGCCCUUCACCUCCUCUAGGAGCCACCUCACCGCCCUCUGCAACCACUCGCCAAUGGCCGCGGUCGACGCACCCAUUCUUCUGGCCGUCCUUGCCGCGCUGGGGUUCCUCAUGAGAUCUCGCACGUCAAGCAACUGCUACUCGAUGCACACGCUGCUUCACCCGGCUGCGCAUGCCUCUCGGCCACCGCCUUGCGGGGGUCGUCGCAGCACGGCCAUGGCGAGGUGUCCAUGUGUAGCUGGAGCAGCACGAUCAUGGCCAUGGCGUGACUGGUCGCGGGCAGGAGCUCGGCCGGGAUGA
Molecule: ribosomal RNA, 393 nt
Filed under: Triticum aestivum (bread wheat)
Lineage: Eukaryota; Viridiplantae; Streptophyta; Magnoliopsida; Poales; Poaceae
Description: partial small subunit ribosomal RNA
Source: RNAcentral